Long non-coding RNA from Uranotaenia lowii, 1245 nucleotides. RefSeq lists it as uncharacterized. NCBI's taxonomy places the organism in Eukaryota, Metazoa, Arthropoda, Insecta, Diptera, Culicidae. The transcript has 3 exons. The record is from RefSeq and is a predicted model, not a curated record.
CACUUAGCAAAAUUUCGCUGUUACUUUCCAUUAGCAAAAAUAUUUUUUUACUGUUGAGUUAGCAAAAAGCUAAAUUUACUUGAUUUUAGUAAUGAAAAAGGUCAUUUUACUUGAUUUUAGUAAAACGAAGGUUUCGCAGCCGCUAUGUUCACAGACUCCAGCCGCCGCGCCAGUAGGGAGAAAAUUAAAAAGCUGUCGCGAUUAAGUGCGGUUCCGGAUGUUCGUUGCUGGUGGUUUUUGUUGGUAAGCAACUUCACGGAGAAACGGUAGCUAAAUCGACACCGGAUGCUUACAGGUUGAAAGUGCAACACGAAACCCGUAACAGUCCGGCAAUGAAGAAGGACCACAACUGGAACUGCAACGAGCUGCAUCCGGAAAACACCCCGGUGCUUUCUUUAAUGAAGAUGGCAUGGCAUUUUGCUCGCCAGUAGGUGCGUUCCCAGCACACAAAACUUUCGGGGCUCCACUUAGCAAAAUUUCGCUGUUACUUUCCGUUAGCAAAAAUAUUUUUUUACUGUUGAGUUAGCAAAAAGCUAAAUUUACUUGAUUUUAGCAAUUAGAAAGUUCAUUUUGCUUGACUUUAGCAAAACAAAGGUUUUCUAGCCGCUUUGUGCACAGACAACAGCCGCCGCGGGUUUUUCAGAAAAAUAACAAACAGACAUGAUUGUGCGCGGUUCCGAAAGUUCGAUGCUAAUGGUUCUAGUGGUGGCUAAGUCAACAACAAAAUACUAACCAAAUCGACACCGGAUGCGUACAGGUUACAACUGCAACACAAAACCCCCAUCAGGCCAGAAAUAAAGGGGACCACAGCUGGAAUUUCAACGAGCUGGAUCCGGCACACACUCUGGUGCAUUCGUCGAUGAAGAUGUCUUGAAGUUUCGCCCGCUGGAACCGGAAUUUCCGUUGAUCGAACGUGAAAUUAAAUUAAAAAAAAAAAUUAAAAAUAAAUUGAAAGUGAAGUAAAUUUGUGAAUUCUAUUUCAUAAUCAAACGUUCUCCCUGAUUCUCCAGAGAAAAAACAAUAAAUUUUGAAAUUUCAGAUCCGGGCGAUCUUUUCUUCCGGUUUUUGCUAAAAAAUUGAGUAAAAAUUGCGGCGGCUAUCUUUUUUUCUCGUUUGCUAAAAUUAUAGUUAAAAAAUAUUGCUAAUUUUUUUGCUAAGUUUCUAGCUGGUCAAAUUUGAGCAAAUUUUUGCUAAAUUCUGGCCUCGAAAAUUUUGUGUGAGGAUCGAACCUUCCGUUUAACGAAA